Molecule: small nuclear RNA, 107 nt
Organism: Mesoplodon densirostris (Blainville's beaked whale)
Lineage: Eukaryota; Metazoa; Chordata; Mammalia; Artiodactyla; Ziphiidae
Source: RefSeq, a predicted model, not a curated record
GUGCUCGCUCUGGCAGCACAUAUAUGAAAACUGAGACGAUACAGAGAAGAUUAGAGUGGCCUCUGCACAAAGAUGACACGCAAAUUCCCAAAGUGUUCCAUAUAUUU